GUUCAUUGUCAUUAAGUACUUUCACGUGGUUGUGAAACCAUCAUCACUGUUCUUCCAGACUUUUUCAUUGUCCUAAACUGAAAUCCUAUAUCCACGGCUGUCCUUGCCCUCCUCCUUUAGCAGCCACCAUUCCGCCUCUGUGACUUUGAGCAUUUGAUACCUCUUGUAAAUGGGAUCAUACAAUUCUUGCCCUUUUGUGUGUGUGGCUUUUUUUACUUGACAUAAUGUCUUCGGAUUUUACCUUUGUCAUGGUAUAUAUUAAGGUUGGCUUCCUUCUUAAGGCUGAGUAAUAUCCCAAUUGUGUAUAUCUAUCUAUAGCUCUAUCUUUCUCUCCCUCUAUAUCUAUACCUUUACAUUACAUCUUGUUUUUCUCCAUUCAUCCAUCAAUGGCCAGUUGGGUUGUUUCUGCCUUUUGGCUAUUGUUUAAACUAAUGCUGCUAAGAAAUUGGUUUACAGAUAUUGAGUCCUUGCUUUCCAUUCUUUUGGAAUUGAAAUUCUAAAUCCCAAAUUGGAAUUCAAUUUCAAAUUCUUUUGGAAUGUGCUUAGAAGUGGAAUUGCUGCCAAGGAGCAUUCUAGAACUCAUUUCUGGAACUUUUGAUAGUUUAAAUGGUUACUGGGGAUUGAACCCAGGAGUGCUUAACCACUGAACCUCAUCCCAGCCCCUUUUAUUUUUUAUUUUUUUUAGUUGAUGGAUACUAUACCUUUAUUUUAUUUAUUUAUUUUUAUGUGGUGCUGAGGUUUGAAACCAGUGCCUCACACUUGCUAGGCAAGCACUCUGCCACUGAGCCCCAACUGCAGCCUCCCCAGCCCUUUUUAUUUAUUAUUAUUAUUUUUAUUUAUUAAUUUUUAAAGUUUUGGAUAUUUAUUUUUUAGUUGUAAAAUAAAUAUUAUUUAUUUUUAUGUGAUGCUGAGGAUCGAACCCAGGGCCUUGCACGUGCUAGGCGAGUGCUCUACCACUGAGCCACAACCCCAGCCCCCUUUAUUUUUUAUUUUGAGACAGGGUCUCACUAAUUGCUCAGGGCUUUGGUAAGUUGCUGAGGCUGGCACUGAGGUUGGUUAUCACCUCCAACAAUCUUUUACUCUGAUUCCACCUCUCCUUCCUGGAGGACCUCGAGCGACAUCAGGAGUCACUAUUGAUGAGAAGAUGGGUGAAUGUUUCUGAGAUUUUGUUUAAUCUUCAGAAAGUUAUAGUUAAUGAUUUCCACAUCAAGGGUUGCCCAGCAUACCACCAAUUUUGAAUUUAAAGCAGAGCAAAUAAAUGUGAACAAAUAAAUGUGUUUUGUUCAUAAAAAUUGUGCUUAUAAUUGUGGUAUAUAUACACAAUGGAAAGUUACUCAGCCAUAAAGAAGAAUGACUUUAUGACAUUUGCCAGUAAAUGGAUGGAUCUGGAGACUGUCAUGCUAAGUGAAAUAAGCCAGCCCCCAAAACCAAAGGUCAAAUGUUUUUGCUGAUGUGUGGAUGCUAACCCACACUAAAGUAGGGGGGGAGAGGAAGAAGAGAAGUUCAUAGAUUAGACAAAGGGGAAUGAAUGGAAGGGAGGGGGAUUAGGCAGAGGAAAGACAGUAGAAUAAAUCUAACAUAAUUUUCCUAUGUACACAUAUGAAAAUACCUAAGUAACUCCCACCGUCGUGCCUACCCACAAGAAUGAGGUCCUAAUUAGAAUAAUAUAUAUCCCAUGCUUGUAUAAUUUUAUCAAAAUACAUUCUACUGUCAUGUAUAAGUAGGAAGAACCAAUAAAAAAAUGGAAUUGAAAUACAGGGAAAAAAUCAUGUUUACUACUCAGUAAUUAUGUGAUUUUACUUAAUCAAAUAAUCUUUGCUUCAAGUGUUUCCUAGCCAAGUAUAAAAUGUCUUGAGAAGUACAAAAAUGAUAGAAGAUGUGAAAGAACUCUGAGAAACGUAGAAGAAACACCAAUGAAAGAUUGGAGAUGAAAGACUGCAAUGUGGAAGCCAAGCCAUACAUUAAGAAAGAUGGACAGACAGUGUUGGAAAAAGAACAGCAACUCCUGGGUACAAGAUGACUGUUCCCUAGAAAUGCUGGUUGGGUAAUCAGUAGUCUGACUAAUGUGGAAGAUCACAGCCCAGUAAAAAUGUGUUAUGGCUGAGUGUCUUGCAGUGCAAGCUGGUGCAAAUUAAGUGCUAAACACAUAAAAUAAAUAUAUGAAACUAGUUGUAUGUGCUGUAACUCACACUGCUGCAGGAGC
RNAcentral lists this long non-coding RNA (2203 nucleotides) under Marmota monax (woodchuck). Lineage: Eukaryota; Metazoa; Chordata; Mammalia; Rodentia; Sciuridae. The record is from RNAcentral.